GCGGUUAGGCUUCGUAGGUGACCUGCGGAAGGAUCAUUACCGAGUGAGGGCCCUCUGGGUCCAACCUCCCACCCGUGUUUAUUUUACCUUGUUGCUUCGGCGGGCCCGCCUUAACUGGCCGCCGGGGGGCUUACGCCCCCGGGCCCGCGCCCGCCGAAGACACCCUCGAACUCUGUCUGAAGAUUGUAGUCUGAGUGAAAAUAUAAAUUAUUUAAAACUUUCAACAACGGAUCUCUUGGUUCCGGCAUCGAUGAAGAACGCAGCGAAAUGCGAUACGUAAUGUGAAUUGCAAAUUCAGUGAAUCAUCGAGUCUUUGAACGCACAUUGCGCCCCCUGGUAUUCCGGGGGGCAUGCCUGUCCGAGCGUCAUUUCUGCCCUCAAGCACGGCUUGUGUGUUGGGCCCCGUCCUCCGAUCCCGGGGGACGGGCCCGAAAGGCAGCGGCGGCACCGCGUCCGGUCCUCGAGCGUAUGGGGCUUUGUCACCCGCUCUGUAGGCCCGGCCGGCGCUUGCCGAUCAACCCAAAUUUUUAUCCAGGUUGACCUCGGAUCAGGUAGGGAUACCCGCUGAACUUAAGCAUAUCAAAG
RNAcentral lists this ribosomal RNA (585 nucleotides) under Penicillium sp. J-18. RNAcentral's name for it is "eukaryotic LSU rRNA". The stretch from base 216 to 368 matches the Rfam family "5.8S ribosomal RNA". The record is from RNAcentral. Lineage: Eukaryota; Fungi; Ascomycota; Eurotiomycetes; Eurotiales; Aspergillaceae.